RNAcentral lists this long non-coding RNA (2981 nucleotides) under Homo sapiens (human). RNAcentral describes it as "HSALNT0039421". The record is from RNAcentral. Lineage: Eukaryota; Metazoa; Chordata; Mammalia; Primates; Hominidae.
CGGGAAUCUUGAUGAAGUUGAGGACGAAGGCCUGGGCAGAGGGCCUGAAGAAGGUUCACCCGGAGACUGUGCACCCACACGUCCCAGGCACUGGCGCGGAGCCACCUGUCUAUGCCGUGGAACCCUAUCAACGGUGACUUUUCCUGCCAGAAGGAGUGGCCAACAGGUGUCAAUCCCAAAGAGGUGACUGCGCUUCUUCUCCAUCCGCUUCCAGGGCCUCCCACAAGGGAACUUCACUGAGGUAGGCAGAGGUGGUGAGGGGCCUGCCAGGCACUCCUCCCGAGACUGCCCUCCUGUCUUGGUCCUCCUCCAGCCUGUGGGCCACUUUGCCACAGUGCAGGGUUCAAGGAACCAAUGAUACUUAGACCACUCCAUUAAUAUUAGCUAUGAACCCCCUCCAGUCAGCCAGUCAGUCAGUCAGUCAGUCAACAAACAGUGCCACUGAAUGGUAAGAGUCAGACCAGGCAGCAUCACCCACUGGCUGUGUGUCCUUACAUAGGUUGUUAAACUUCUUGAAGGCUCAUUGUACCCCAGGGCUGUUGGGGGUAAUCCCUGAGAUACAAAUUACAAACCCCCUCCAGUCAGUCAGUCAGUCAGUCAACAAACAGUACCACCCAAUGGCAAGAGUCAGGCCAGGCAGCAUCGCCCACUGCCUGUGUCUCCUUACAUAGGUGGUUAAACUUCUUAAAAGCUCAUUGUACCCCAGGGCUGUUGGGGGUGAUCCCUGGGAUUAGUAAGGUCUCAUAAUGGGAUGCUGCUGAGCUCCUCACAGAGGAAAGGAAUUACAGGGAGAAGGAGGUGAGCAUUCUUGGAGAGCUCCUACAAUAGGCAUGGCAUGUUUGUGAGGCCUCCCUGCCAAGAAGAGAGCGCAUACUCCAUGGAGAACUGAGGGCUGAAAGGUCGGCCCGACUCUGCUCAAAAUGGGCCUUGAAUGCCCAGUCCAGAUAUCUAGACUUAAAAGAGCAAUGGGACGUCGUCAGCAGGGGAGCUGCAUCAUAACAAAAGAAUGGAAAGGGCACAACAGCAACAAUUCCAGAAGCUGACAGCAGAUGGAUGGACACAGUAACUGACUUGGCAGACUGGAAAGCAAAAAUCUCAGCCCGUGAUGGGGGCGCCCAGAAGCUGAAGGACUGGACCACGGAACCAUAGGAGGCUGUGGGGCUUCCAGGAAGGCAGUGCAGGUGGGAGGGCAUGUUGAGAGUUUGUAAGAGAAACUGCGAAAGCCCUCCUCACUGACUUGACUCCCCUCUCCCUGCCUGCAGAAGGUGAACCAGAGGCUCUGACUAGGGACUUCAGGCCCCGCUUCAGGAAGGAGUGGUGCUCUUAGCUGACCACAGGGAGUCAUGCAAAUGUCCACAGCCUGCACAGGCACCAGCUCCCCUGCCCCACCCUGCUCUGAGGGGCCGAACACCAUGGGUGAGCGUCUUCCAUCCUCCAAGAGCUUGGAGGAGUCCUCUUAGAAAGCAGCCUAAAAGGAAAGCCCUCACGAUCUGGGGUUCUGCCAAUGACAGGGCCUUCCCAAGGCCUUGCAGGAAACCCACAGGCCAACAGGCCCACCAGGCAUUUCUUUGCAGCUUCCUGGAAAUAUCUAAUUAUUUCAAAAUAAAAAGUUAAAUUUUUAGAUCUUUUUUUACUUUUUUUAAAAAUAGAGACAGGGUCUCACUGUGUUGCCCAGGCUAGUCUCAAACUCCCAAGCUCAAGCAAUCCUCCCACCUCAGCCUCUCAAAGUGCUGGAAUUAUUGGUCUGAGCUACUGAGCCUGGCCAAAAAUUUUUUUCUGCAGAAGAAUUGAAUUAUAAAGUUGUAGAAAGUUCCCUGAAAGAGGCUGGGCGCGGUGGCUCACGCCUGUAAUCCCAGCACUUUAGGAGGCCAAGGCAGGUGGAUCACCUGAGGUCAGGAGUUCAAGACCAGCUUGACCAACACGGAGAAACCCCUUCUCUACUAAAAACACAAAAUUAGCUGGGCGUGGUGGCGCAUGCCUGUAAUCCCAGCUACUCGGGAGGCUGCGGCAGGAGAAUCGCUUGAAUCCAGGAGGCGGAGGUUGUGGUGAGCUGAGAUCACGUCAUUGCACUCCAGCCUGGGACAACAAGAGUGAAACUCCAUCUCAAAAAAAAAGAAAAAAAAGAAAGUUCCCUGAAAGAAAACACAAAGUCAAAGAGAUGGGAAAUAGAAGAGACAAUAAAACUAGAGGAAAGAGGUCUGAAUAAUGGGAGGUCCAGAAAGAGAAAAUAGAGGAAGUAAAGGGGAGAUUGUAGAAGAAAUAAGUGAUAAAUGUCCCUAGAGGCAGAAGAUAGGAAUUUCCACAUUAAAAGGGUCCACCUUUUAAUGAAAAUGAAUGAAAAAAGGACCCAUGCCAAGGAACAGCAUGCUGAAAUGUAAAAGUUGUAAAACUCUGAUUUUUAAAGUUUCAUACAUAUAUAAAUUUGAUUAAAAUGCAUAAAAAGGAAAAUAUAGAAGAAGGCAGAAUCGGGAUUCUGUUCUCUCCUCAAGGAAGCAAGGGGGUAAAGAGGGAAAUGCGAUGCACGCCGGACAACGUCAGAGAAAAACGCAGCCAGGCUACAUGGAGGAGGACGCUGCACGCCUCGCCCCAGAUACGCUCAGACUGGGGAGCGGAGCCACCACUGGGCUUGCGCUCCAGGAGGUGGCCCCAGGUGCGCAGGGGGCGCCCGGAGGAAGGCGGGGACGCCAGGAAGAAAGGAAGCAGGGAAAGCGGAGGGCGCGCCCAGCUCCCGGGCUGAUUGCGCUAACAGUGGCCCCGGUGUUGGGGCGCGUCUGCCGCUGCCCCAAGGCUCAACUCUGUUCCUCGCUCCCUCCCUAGAAACCCUCCUGAGCCCCCCGCGCCGCGCCCCGUCAGGGGGCCUGCCCACCCUGCACCCAGCGUGAUUCCUGGGCGAUGUAUUGGGGGCUUCUCACCUGCGGGGUGACACUGCAGGAGGUCGUCCCCCAGCUUGUAGCCAGGCGCACAGCUACAGCGCCGCCAGC